UGGAAUAUAGCCAAGUGGGAAGGCACUCGUUUUUGGUACGACUAUUCAAAGGUUCGAAUCCUUUUAUUCCAA
RNAcentral lists this transfer RNA (72 nucleotides) under Gomphonema parvulum. RNAcentral's name for it is "tRNA-Gln". It matches the Rfam family "tRNA". From Rfam's summary of the family: Transfer RNA (tRNA) molecules are approximately 80 nucleotides in length. Their secondary structure includes four short double-helical elements and three loops (D, anti-codon, and T loops). Lineage: Eukaryota; Bacillariophyta; Bacillariophyceae; Cymbellales; Gomphonemataceae. The record is from RNAcentral.